This 477-nucleotide ribosomal RNA is filed under the name uncultured bacterium. RNAcentral describes it as "bacterial SSU rRNA". It matches the Rfam family "Bacterial small subunit ribosomal RNA", at positions 28 to 507 of the family's 1533-position model. The record is from RNAcentral.
GACGAACGCUAGCGGCAGGCCUAAUACAUGCAAGUCGAACGGUAAGGCCCUUUCGGGGUACACGAGUGGCGGACGGGUGCGUAACGCGUAUGCAACAUACCUUCAAGCGGGGGAUAUGCCAGGGAAACUUGGUGCAACACCCCAUAGCAUUUCGGGACCGCAUGGUCUUGGGAUUAAAUAUUUAUAGCUUGGAGAUUGGCAUGCGUGACAUUAGCUAGUUGGCGGGGUAACGCCCACCAAGGCGACGAUGUCUAGCUGGUCUGAGAGGAUGAUCAGCCACACUGGGACUGAGACACGGCCCAGACUCCUACGGGAGGCAGCAGUAGGGAAUAUUGGACAAUGGGGGAACCCUGAUUCAGCCAUGCCGCGUGAGGGAAGAAGGUCCUCUGGAUUGUAAACCUCUUUUGGCGGGGGACAAACCUAGCACUAUACGUGCAGCUGAGGGUACCCGCAGAAUAAGCACCGGCUAACUCCGUG